RNAcentral lists this long non-coding RNA (185 nucleotides) under Monodelphis domestica (gray short-tailed opossum). RNAcentral's name for it is "lncRNA (ENSMODG00000048706.1)". Lineage: Eukaryota; Metazoa; Chordata; Mammalia; Didelphimorphia; Didelphidae. The record is from RNAcentral.
UCCAAGGUACCCCUUCCUCUGUCCCAGGGAAGACAUGAAGAUGAAAGAGAAAAUAGUCCCAAAUUCUAUGCCAUAAAGGUACUCUGUAUCAUCUCUUUUACUUUUAUUUUUUUUAAAUGAGUUCAUUGAAUAUGUCUUAAUCUAGUUAUCUAGAGCUGUUCCAAUGAGCUUGAGCAUUUCCCCAG